UGUAAGCGUAUACCAAAGUUGUUGCAGUUAAAACGCUCGUAGUCGGAAUUUGGCAGUUCCGGAUGUGUGCACGUCGUGUGCGCACUUCGCGGGGAUUGCUUUUGUGGUCUUGCGUAGGAUGAGGCACUUUUAUUAGUGAACGUCCUCACGCAACCACUUUGUACUGUGAGAAAAUCAGAGUGCUCAAAGCAGGCAUUUGCCGUGAAUGUAUUAGCAUGGAAUAAUAGAAUAGGACUUGGUUCUAUUUUGUUGGUUUGUUGGGACUGAGUAAUGAUUAAGAGGGACAGUUGGGGGCAUUUGUAUUUCGGUGCUAGAGGUGAAAUUCUUAGAUUACCGAAAGACAAACUGCUGCGAAAGCGUCUGCCAAGGAUGUUUUCAUUGA
RNAcentral lists this ribosomal RNA (382 nucleotides) under uncultured eukaryote. Its description in RNAcentral is "partial 18S ribosomal RNA". It matches the Rfam family "Eukaryotic small subunit ribosomal RNA", at positions 592 to 976 of the family's 1831-position model. The record is from RNAcentral.